Molecule: non-coding RNA, 298 nt
Organism: Pongo abelii (Sumatran orangutan)
Lineage: Eukaryota; Metazoa; Chordata; Mammalia; Primates; Hominidae
Source: Rfam
GCCAGGUGUGGUGGUGUGUGCCUACAGUCCCAGCUACUUGGGAAGCUGAGGUAAGAGGACCGCCUGAGCCCAGGAGUUUUGGGCUGUAGUGGGCUGUGCUAACCAGGUAUCUGCACGAAGUUUGGCAGCAACAUGGUGACCUUCUAGGAAUGGGGAACCACCAGCUUGCUAAGGAGGGGUGAACUGACCCAAGUAGGAAAGGGAGCAGGUCAAAACUCCCAUGCCGAUGAGUAAUGGGAUUGUGCCUAUAAAUAUCCACUGCACUGCAGCCUGGCAACAUAAUAAGACCCCGUCUCUA